Molecule: non-coding RNA, 71 nt
Organism: Haladaptatus sp. R4
Lineage: Archaea; Methanobacteriati; Methanobacteriota; Halobacteria; Halobacteriales; Haladaptataceae
Source: Rfam
GCACCGGUGGUCUAGUGGCAGGACAUAAGCUUCCCAAGCUUAUAGCCCGGGUUCAACUCCCGGUCGGUGCA